AUGAUUAACCAAGAGAUACCAUUAAACAGGUUAAAUGCUGCAAGUCAACUUGCAGGGUCACUGACAUCAAAGAUCUCUUGGUUUGUCACUAUUGCUUCGAUAAAGCCUUUGAAAAGUUCUAUGACAUGUAUACUGCAACAUGGAAAGGAGCUGGGUUUUCAAUUAUAUCAGGUUCUAUAUGCUGUGAAGAUCACUUCAUGUGGAUGCUUACAGUAUUUACGGUGA
Molecule: non-coding RNA, 225 nt
Organism: Vicia faba (fava bean)
Lineage: Eukaryota; Viridiplantae; Streptophyta; Magnoliopsida; Fabales; Fabaceae
Source: the annotation of a GenBank genome assembly